AACGAACGCUGGCGGCAGGCUUAACACAUGCAAGUCGAGCGUCCUCGCAAGGGGGCGCGGCAGACGGGUGCGUAACGCGUGGGAACAUACCUCUCGGUUCGGAAUAACCCAGGGAAACUUGGGACAAUACCGGAUACGUGCGAAAGCAGAAAGAUUCAUCGCCGAGAGAUUGGCCCGCGUCCGAUUAGCUGGUUGGUGAGGUAACGGCUCACCAAGGCGACGAUCGGUAGCUGGUCUGAGAGGAUGAUCAGCCACACUGGGACUGAGACACGGCCCAGACUCCUACGGGAGGCAGCAGUGGGGAAUAUUGGACAAUGGGCGCAAGCCUGAUCCAGCCAUGCCGCGUGAGUGAUGAAGGCCCUAGGGUUGUAAAGCUCUUUCGCCAGGGACGAUAAUGACGGUACCUGGAUAAGAAGCCCCGGCUAACUUCGUGCCAGCAGCGCGGUAAAAUAGCGUACU
Molecule: ribosomal RNA, 459 nt
Filed under: uncultured bacterium
Lineage: Bacteria
Description: bacterial SSU rRNA
Rfam family: Bacterial small subunit ribosomal RNA
Source: RNAcentral